Molecule: ribosomal RNA, 253 nt
Filed under: uncultured bacterium
Lineage: Bacteria
Description: partial 16S ribosomal RNA
Rfam family: Bacterial small subunit ribosomal RNA
Source: RNAcentral
UACAGAGGUCCCGAGCGUUGUUCGGAUUCACUGGGCGUAAAGGGUGCGUAGGUGGCCUGAAAAGUUUGAUGUGAAAGCUCAGGGCUUAACCCUGAAAUGGCAUUGUAUACUGUCGGGCUGGAGGUUUGGAGGGGGGACUGGAAUUCUUGGUGUAGCAGUGAAAUGCGUAGAUAUCAAGAGGAACACCAGUGGCGAAGGCGAGUCCCUGGACAACACCUGACACUGAGGCACGAAAGCUAGGGGAGCAAACAGG